This is an unclassified non-coding RNA of Cercocebus atys (sooty mangabey), 107 nucleotides long. It matches the Rfam family "Y RNA". From Rfam's summary of the family: Y RNAs are components of the Ro ribonucleoprotein particle (Ro RNP), in association with Ro60 and La proteins. The Y RNAs and Ro60 and La proteins are well conserved, but the function of the Ro RNP is not known. In humans the RNA component can be one of four small RNAs -- hY1, hY3, hY4 and hY5. Lineage: Eukaryota; Metazoa; Chordata; Mammalia; Primates; Cercopithecidae. The record is from Ensembl.
GGGUCCUCCAAAAGUAGUGAGUUAUGGCAGUUGAUCAUUCACUGACAGUUACAGAUGAAACCUCUUGUUCUACUGUUUCCCUCUCACUAAUACUUGACUAGUCUUAA